Molecule: long non-coding RNA, 1238 nt
Organism: Mesocricetus auratus (golden hamster)
Lineage: Eukaryota; Metazoa; Chordata; Mammalia; Rodentia; Cricetidae
Exons: 3
Source: RefSeq, a predicted model, not a curated record
UAACUCUCCUCCUUAACAGACUGUUAAGGAAUCGAUGAGGAAAUACUUCCUUGGUGCUGAACACAAAGACUGACACACUGCAGGCAAAGGAGAGACCGUGUCUUUCUUGGCUUCUGGACUCCAUGUUACCUGCCUGAGAUUGACAACUAAGACAGCAAGUAAAGAGGCUGCCAAGUUCCAAGUCCCUACGUCACUGUGCCUGAAAAUCUUAACUGUAGAAACUUAUCAUCUAAACAUCCAAGAGCAAGAUUUAAAAUCAUAACAUCUAGGAUCAGGUCCUUGCCAAAGACAAUGACGAUAAGCUCCCAAGUGACAUCAGCAUGAGACAGAAAUCGAAACACCUCAGCAUGACAAUAAGACUCCAGAUUACCUGAACUCUACCUGCUAUGCAAGUCUCAACUCUUGACAACCUCCCCUACUUUCAAGUCAUAAAAAACACUUACAAAUCCAUAAACAUAUCUUGUUUUCUAUGGUGUCUCUACUGGACCAUGUCAUGUUAUAUGAUUGUCUUUGCCUAAAUUUUCCGUGCUUAAACAUACUUAAGUGCCAUGAGUCUCUCUGCACAGGAUCUUCCCCAGGCCUUCCUCUUGAGUACAGGGCCAUACAGGGCACUACCUUUGACAGGUCUUCAUUGUCGACCUUGGCUGGAUUGAUAGAUACUGAGAAUAUUAGUGAAGCUCACCUCUGAGACUGUUUACAUGGGCAUUUUCAGAGAUGAUUAGAUCGUGACGGUUUGAUGGAUUCAAAUUUUCAGUGGCUUCCUUGGAGGUGAUAGGACUUCCUUCCUAGUUGGAGGGGUUUAGGGGCUGCAUCUUGUCCUAGCCCUUUCUGCUGUAGCUGAACUCUACUGCCUGCUGUUUGGCAUAGUGUGAACUGCUCCACCCUGAUUUCCUGUGUACCAUGAUAUAAGCUGUCCCUCAUGUUAUCCCUGUCAUAGUGACUAAACCUUCAAAACCAUGGGCAAAAUAAAUUGCUCCUCCUUGAAGUUGUUCAUUUUAGGCAUUUUGGUCAUAAUAAGGCAGUAUUAUCAACACUAUCAAUUUGUAUCUAGGCAAGGCUUAUAACCAUGGAAUUUGAUAAAAGAUAGUGUAUGGUAUUUCCAAGCCAGUUUCCAAAAUAUUCCAUAUCAUUCUUUAUUUCUCUCUUAUUCUUCAGACCACCGACAGAACUCUCUGGACCCCAGUAGAUCUUAGGACUAGUAUAAUAAGCAUACCUUCUGAACCUGUACUUUCAUGAGC